AUACGGAGGAUCCGAGCGUUAUCCGGAUUUAUUGGGUUUAAAGGGUGCGCAGGCGGCCAUUUAAGUCAGCGGUUAAAUCGUGGGGCUCAACCCCAUUCUGCCGUUGAUACUGGGUGGCUUGAUUGCGGUCGAGGUUGGCGGAAUCCGUUGUGUAGCGGUGAAAUGCAUAGAUAUGACGAAGAACACCGAUUGCGUAGGCAGCUGACCAGACCGCAAAUGACGCUCAUGCACGAAAGUGCGGGGAUCGAACAGGAUUAGAUACCCUGGUAGUCCGCACAGUAAACGAUGAAUACUUGUUUUCGGCGAUAUAAUGUCGGAGGCAAAGCGAAAGCGAUAAGUAUUCCACCUGGGGAGUACGCCGGCAACGGUGAAACUCAAAGGAAUUGACGGGG
Molecule: ribosomal RNA, 392 nt
Filed under: uncultured bacterium
Lineage: Bacteria
Description: partial 16S ribosomal RNA
Rfam family: Bacterial small subunit ribosomal RNA
Source: RNAcentral